GUAGGUGGCAAGCGUCGUCCGGAAUUAUUGGGCGUAAAGCGCGCGCAGGCGGUUCUUUAAGUCUGAUGUGAAAGCCCACGGCUCAACCGCGGAGGGUCAUUGGAAACUGGAGAACUUGAGUACAGAAGAGGAAAGCGGAAUUCCACGUGUAGCGGUGAAAUGCGUAGAGAUGUGGAGGAACACCAGUGGCGAAGGCGGCUUUCUGGUCUGUAACUGACGCUGAGGCGCGAAAGCGUGGGGAGCAAACAGGGAUUAGAUACCCUGGUAGUCCACGCCGUAAACGAUGAGUGCUAAGUGUUAGGGGGUUUCCGCCCCCUUAGUGCUGCAGCUAACGCAUUAAGCACUCCGCCUGGGGAGUACGGCCGCAAGGCUG
This 373-nucleotide ribosomal RNA is filed under the name uncultured organism. RNAcentral describes it as "partial 16S ribosomal RNA". It matches the Rfam family "Bacterial small subunit ribosomal RNA", at positions 527 to 896 of the family's 1533-position model. The record is from RNAcentral.